UACGGAGGGGGCAAGCGUUGUUCGGAUUUAUUGGGCGUAAAGCGCAUGUAGGCGGCGCAGUAAGUCGGAUGUUAAAGACCCACGGCUCACCCGGGGGAAUGCGUCCGAUACUGCUGUGCUAGAGUGUGGAAGAGGAGAGUGGAAUUCCAGGUGUAGCGGUGAAAUGCGUAGAUAUCUGGAGGAACACCGGUGGCGAAGGCGGCUCUCUGGUCCAUAACUGACGCUGAGAUGCGAAAGCGUGGGUAGCGAACGGG
Molecule: ribosomal RNA, 254 nt
Filed under: uncultured bacterium
Lineage: Bacteria
Description: partial 16S ribosomal RNA
Rfam family: Bacterial small subunit ribosomal RNA
Source: RNAcentral